AACGCACAUUGCGCCCUUUGGUAUUCCGAAGGGCAUGCCUGUCCGAGCGUCAUUAUCAACCAUCAAGCCUGGCUUGUCGUCGGACCCCGUGUCGUCGUUUACCGGCGACGGGUCCGAAAGAUAAUGACGGUGUCGUGUCUGACCCUCGAUGCAACGAGCCUUUCGGCACGCAUUGAAGUGGUGGACCGGGCCGGUCGUACCUAUACAUUUAUCAAGGUUGACCUCGGAUCAGGUAGGAAUACCCGCUGAACUUAA
Molecule: unclassified non-coding RNA, 255 nt
Filed under: uncultured fungus
Lineage: Eukaryota; Fungi
Description: partial contains 5.8S ribosomal RNA, internal transcribed spacer 2, and large subunit ribosomal RNA
Rfam family: 5.8S ribosomal RNA (bases 1-52)
Source: RNAcentral